UACGUAGGGUGCAAGCGUUGUCCGGAAUUAUUGGGCGUAAAGAGCUCGUAGGCGGCUUGUCGCGUCGGAUGUGAAAGCCCGGGGCUUAACUUCGGGUCUGCAUUCGAUACGGGCAGGCUAGAGUUCGGUAGGGGAGAUCGGAAUUCCUGGUGUAGCGGUGAAAUGCGCAGAUAUCAGGAGGAACACCGGUGGCGAAGGCGGAUCUCUGGGCCGAUACUGACGCUGAGGAGCGAAAGCGUGGGGAGCGAACAGG
Molecule: ribosomal RNA, 253 nt
Filed under: uncultured bacterium
Lineage: Bacteria
Description: partial 16S ribosomal RNA
Rfam family: Bacterial small subunit ribosomal RNA
Source: RNAcentral